AAGUGCUGUCCUUUCAUGUAGACAAUCAGUAAUUUCCUUAAAUUAUAAGUUUGUUCCAACAUUAUAUAUAUUCAGUUCCCUUUAUUUUCUUGCACUUUCCAUCUGCUGUGAGUCUUCAGAAGAGCCAUUUGCUCACAUAGAUGAGAAACAGAUGAACAUUUUACGACAUUUGCAAGUAGAGGCAGUGCCUGCGAUGAAGAUGCCAAAGAUAGAACAGACAUUUGGAGACUGGGUUGCCAACAUGAAUCUUGCUUAGAAUUUCCAUUUGUGGGGUGGGCGGUUACAGGACCAUAUGCAGCUCAUAUUACAUCAGGACGGUGGCACAGGAUAAGGAGUGGUGGGCCCCUGUGGGAAUUGCAUGUGAACAUUGAUGAAAAGAGAACAUACGCUCAUGAAAACUAAAUAAACAAAUGCAUAAAUUACUAACACAGACUGAUGGAUCUCCAUAAUCAGCAACGCAAACGCC
This is a long non-coding RNA of Cyprinus carpio carpio, 466 nucleotides long. NCBI's taxonomy places the organism in Eukaryota, Metazoa, Chordata, Actinopteri, Cypriniformes, Cyprinidae. The record is from Ensembl.